Molecule: small nucleolar RNA, 141 nt
Organism: Rattus norvegicus (Norway rat)
Lineage: Eukaryota; Metazoa; Chordata; Mammalia; Rodentia; Muridae
Product: small nucleolar RNA SNORA48
Source: Ensembl
UCACCCAUCAAUGGAUGAAGAGACACCUUGUUGGUGGCAUUGCCUUGUAUCGGUCAGGGGCAGAGUAGAUGACAGUCUUUGUUCAUCCUAGCUUGAUGCCUGGCUUGGUGGCCAAAGCUGUCUUAUGUCUAGGACACGUAA